RNAcentral lists this long non-coding RNA (1258 nucleotides) under Mus musculus (house mouse). RNAcentral describes it as "long non-coding RNA chr11:101053142-101054400". Lineage: Eukaryota; Metazoa; Chordata; Mammalia; Rodentia; Muridae. The record is from RNAcentral.
CAGAGCUGGGUGUAGCUUCCUACCUGGGCACUCCUGUCUGGCCUUGCCACAUUCCCAGCAGAAUGUGCACAGAGCUGCGCUGUAGGGUGGGGACCAGCGGGGUCAGGCCACUGGCAGGGCCCCACGAUCUCUCAGUUGAUAUUAAUUGUCAGCUUGACAACAUCUGGAGUCACCUGUAAGUCUCCGGCCACGCCUCUGAGAGGGUUAGUGCAGUUCAGUUAACUGAGGUGAGACAGUUUAAAAACAGGUUGCACCAUUCCUGGGCGUGGCCCUUGCACUGAAGAGAGGGGAAAGCAGGCAGACAUGCGUUUGUUCAGUGUCCUCUGCUUCUUGGCUGUGGAUGUGAUGUCACUAGCUGCUGUAAGCGCCUGUUGCCUUUAGUCCCCAGCAUGAUGACUGCACUGGGAACUGUGAGCCUAAUAGUCCUGUCUCCCUUAAAUCGCUUUUGUCAGGGUAUUUAAUCCCAGCAAGGGGGAAAAAAAUAAUACAGUGUUUACUGACUCGGUAUGCCCCACUGUGGCGAUCAGAGCCCACCAGAGAGAGAGAAAAUUGUUGAAAGCAGUGUGGCUGGGAGGUGGUGGUGCACCUCUUUAAUUCCAGCACUUGGGAAGCAGAGACAAACAGAUCUAGAUCUCUGUGAGAUCAAGGCCAGCCCGGUCUGCAUAGUAAACUCCGACACAACCAGGAAUACACAGAGAAACCCUGUCUGGAAAAAAAGCAAAAAAAUUUUAAAAAUUAAAAAAGAUACAUAGUAUGGCAGAGGUGUUGGCUCACACCUUUAGAGGCAAAUGGAGCGCCUGAGUUCAAAGCCAGCCUGGUCUACAGGACAGUCGGAGCUACACAAACCAUGACUUGAAAAAAAACAAGCAAACCCCUCUCCCAAAAAUAAAAUAUAUACAAUGUGGACCUGGAGAGAGAGUUCAGUGGUCAAGAGCACUGGCUGCUCUUCCAAAGAACCUUGGUUCAAUUCCCAGCACCCACAUGAAUGCUCACAGUCUUUUAAUGCCUAUUCCAGAGGCUCUGGUGCCUUCUACUGGCCUCUGCAGGUACUGCAUGCACAUGGUGCCCAGGCAUACAUGCAGGGGAAAUAAGUCUUUGAAAAAAGACAGAGACAGAGACAGUGUGAUGAGCAUGGUGACACACACCACUAAAGCCAGCACUCAGGAGUCAGAGGCAGGCAGAUCUCUGAGUUCAAGGCCAGCCUGAUCCACAAGGUGAGUUCCAGGCUAGCCAGGACUAUAUAAUGAGACCUUGUAUG